UGUGAUACAAUUUCAGUAGAACCCUUUAGUUCUGGGUUUAAUUCGAAUGUUUCACACUUUAGCGAGGCAUGAAACGAUUCGAUAGGAGCAUUAUCAGCGG
Non-coding RNA from Erysipelothrix rhusiopathiae str. Fujisawa, 100 nucleotides. The record is from Rfam. Lineage: Bacteria; Bacillati; Bacillota; Erysipelotrichia; Erysipelotrichales; Erysipelotrichaceae.